AGUUAUCAAGCUCGAAACUUUAUGUUUUUAGCUUGGUUUUGGGCUUUGCCGUUUCCCUUCAUUUGGGGAACGGCUGGCCUUAAAGAUAUUAGCUUUGAUCCCUUGUGUGGCAUUGGUUCUACUCAGCGUGAUAAUAAUAUGACCGUUGAGGACAUCCUUCGGGAUGGCCAAUUCUCUUUGGGGGUUGCUCUCUAAUCUCGGUUGCAGGAUUUAUUUGAUCCUAAUCCAAUCCACUUCCAA
This 240-nucleotide unclassified non-coding RNA is filed under the name uncultured Clavulinaceae. RNAcentral's name for it is "sequence contains ITS2". Lineage: Eukaryota; Fungi; Basidiomycota; Agaricomycetes; Cantharellales; Hydnaceae. The record is from RNAcentral.